Molecule: ribosomal RNA, 500 nt
Filed under: uncultured bacterium
Lineage: Bacteria
Description: partial 16S ribosomal RNA
Rfam family: Bacterial small subunit ribosomal RNA
Source: RNAcentral
AUUGAACGCUGGCGGCAUGCCUUACACAUGCAAGUCGAACGGCAGCACGGGAGCAAUCCUGGUGGCGAGUGGCGAACGGGUGAGUAAAGUAUCGGAACGUGCCCAGUCGUGGGGGAUAACGUAGCGAAAGUUACGCUAAUACCGCAUACGAUCUAUGGAUGAAAGCGGGGGAUCGCAAGACCUCGCGCAAUUGGAGCGGCCGAUAUCAGAUUAGGUAGUUGGUGGGGUAAAGGCUCACCAAGCCGACGAUCUGUAGCUGGUCUGAGAGGACGACCAGCCAACCUGGGACUGGGACACGGCCCAGACUCCUACGGGAGGCAGCAGUGGGGAAUUUUGGACAAAGGGCGAAAGCCUGAUCCAGCCAUGCCGCGUGCAGGAUGAAGGCCUUCGGGUUGUAAACUGCUUUUGUACGGAACGAAAAGGUUUGGCCUAAUAAGCUGAGCUCAUGACGGUACCGUAAGAAUAAGCACCGGCUAACUACGUGCCAGCCGCCGCGGUAA